RNAcentral lists this ribosomal RNA (433 nucleotides) under uncultured bacterium. RNAcentral describes it as "partial 16S ribosomal RNA". It matches the Rfam family "Bacterial small subunit ribosomal RNA", at positions 29 to 507 of the family's 1533-position model. The record is from RNAcentral.
AACGAACGCUGGCGGCAUGCCUAACACAUGCAAGUCGAACGAGACCUUCGGGUCUAGUGGCGCACGGGUGCGUAACGCGUGGGAACCUGCCCUUAGGUUCGGAAUAACUCCCCGAAAGGGGUGCUAAUACCGGAUAAUGUCUUCGGACCAAAGAUUUAUCGCCUUUGGAUGGGCCCGCGUUGGAUUAGCUAGUUGGUAGGGUAAAAGCCUACCAAGGCGACGAUCCAUAGCUGGUCUGAGAGGAUGAUCAGCCACACUGGGACUGAGCCACGGCCCAGACUCCUACGGGAAGCAGCAGUGGGGAAUAUUGGACAAUGGGCGAAAGCCUGAUCCAGCAAUGCCGCGUGAGUGAUGAAGGCCUUAGGGUUGUAAAGCUCUUUUACCCGGGAUGAUAAUGACAGUACCGGGAGAAUAAGCUCCGGCUAACUCCGUG